This 992-nucleotide long non-coding RNA is filed under the name Monodelphis domestica (gray short-tailed opossum). RNAcentral describes it as "lncRNA (ENSMODG00000037395.1)". Lineage: Eukaryota; Metazoa; Chordata; Mammalia; Didelphimorphia; Didelphidae. The record is from RNAcentral.
UGAUGACUUUUAUUGGGGGAAGAGCUUUGCUUUAUACCUUCUGCUUCACUGCUGUGGGGGCAAACUCUCACUGAUGGCCUGUUGGGAUGUGGUCUGCUGCCCUUACUCAGGGUGCCUACCCUGGACCAUGUCCCCCAUCCCCUAGAGAACCAGACUUUUCCUGAUGAACCCCUCCCCUCAAGAGGUCCUUAGGAACAAAACUACUUCUUUGCUUCAAAAAUUGGGAAGAGACUUUGCUUUAAAGUGCUUUUAGAGGGGAAUUUGAGAGGGCCUAGGAAAUUUCUAAACCUGUAAGCUAGCUUCUGUGCAGUGAAAAGGAGGAGGGAGAUGGACAAUGACGUGGAUGAAAAAUAAAGGAAGACAGGUUAAUGCUUUAUCCAGAGCCAUGGGAAGCAUGGGACAAAUGGAACAAAGGACAGUGUACAUUUACACUGGGAACAUGAAUCUCCACCCUGCAGGACUUCCAAAGGUACAUCUCCCCUAAUGAUCCUCCACUGACCUAUGCUCUGGUGUAUCAUCAUCAUCAUGGCAAUCCUCUUUGGUACCUACCUUCUUCCUGUAAGGGAAAAUAUCAGAUCAUCUCUUUAAUUGGUAUAUUUGCACCAAGUUGGUGGAUAAUUCCACAGGAGUUCAAAGCAAGGGUAAAAAGAAGCUGAGGAUUUGCCAAUGAAAAUAUGAAAGGAAACAAAUAUUAACUGAACUUUGAAGACAGAUGUAAAAUGUAGAAUACCUUAAUUGUUUGUGUCAGUCAUUGUUAUGUCUUGGUAAAAAAAAAAACUCACAAAAUCUGUACAAAUCAGGUAAAGACACAUCAUUGUUAAUGUAGGCUAUGGUAGAGAGACAUAGAUUAAUUGAUAUUAUUCCUCUGUCAGUCAGGUGGGUUCUGAAUACAAAUAAUUUCCUGCCAAUAUAUAGGGAAUAGAAAGUAGAAAAAAUAGAGAACAGUUACUCUGAACCUCUGGAGGUGAGGCAGACUCAAACAAAUGUGUGGU